This 492-nucleotide ribosomal RNA is filed under the name uncultured bacterium. RNAcentral describes it as "partial 16S ribosomal RNA". It matches the Rfam family "Bacterial small subunit ribosomal RNA", at positions 29 to 507 of the family's 1533-position model. The record is from RNAcentral.
AGUGAACGCUGGCGGUAGGCCUAACACAUGCAAGUCGAACGGCCGCACAGUAAGAGCUUGCUCUUACGGGUGGCGAGUGGCGGACGGGUGAGGAAUACAUCGGCAUCUACUUUUUCGUGGGGGAUAACGUAGGGACACUUACGCUAAUACCGCAUACGACCUACGGGUGAAAGCAGGAGAUCUUCGCACCUUGCGCGAUUGAAUGAGCCGAUGUCGGAUUAGCUAGUUGGCGGGGUAAAGGCCCACCAAGGCGACGAUCCGUAGCUGGUCUGAGAGGAUGAUCAGCCACACUGGAACUGAGACACGGUCCAGACUCCUACGGGAGGCAGCAGUGGGGAAUAUUGGACAAUGGGCGCAAGCCUGAUCCAGCCAUACCGCGUGGGUGAAGAAGGCCUUCGGGUUGUAAAGCCCUGUUGUUGGGAAAGAAAAGCAGCAGGUUAAUACCCCGCUGUUCUGACGGUACCUAAAGAAUAAGCACCGGCUAACUUCGUG